UGGGGAAUAUUGGACAAUGGGCGCAAGCCUGAUCCAGCCAUGCCGCGUGAGUGAUGAAGGCCUUAGGGUUGUAAAGCUCUUUUAGCAGGGAAGAUAAUGACGGUACCUGCAGAAAAAGCCCCGGCUAACUUCGUGCCAGCAGCCGCGGUAAUACGGAGGGGGCUAGCGUUGUCCGGAAUUACUGGGCGUAAAGCGCGCGUAGGCGGUCCACCAAGUCGGGGGUGAAAUCCCGGGGCUCAACCUCGGAACUGCCUUCGAUACUGUUGGUCUCGAGUCCGGAAGAGGUGAGUGGAAUUCCUAGUGUAGAGGUGAAAUUCGUAGAUAUUAGGAAGAACACCGGUGGCGAAGGCGGCUCACUGGUCCGGUACUGACGCUGAGGUGCGAAAGCGUGGGGAGCAAACA
Molecule: ribosomal RNA, 402 nt
Filed under: uncultured bacterium
Lineage: Bacteria
Description: bacterial SSU rRNA
Rfam family: Bacterial small subunit ribosomal RNA
Source: RNAcentral